RNAcentral lists this ribosomal RNA (417 nucleotides) under uncultured bacterium. RNAcentral describes it as "bacterial SSU rRNA". It matches the Rfam family "Bacterial small subunit ribosomal RNA", at positions 958 to 1375 of the family's 1533-position model. The record is from RNAcentral.
AACGCGAAGAACCUUACCUGGCCUUGACAUCCAGAGAACUUAGCAGAGAUGCUUUGGUGCCUUCGGGAACUCUGAGACAGGUGCUGCAUGGCUGUCGUCAGCUCGUGUUGUGAAAUGUUGGGUUAAGUCCCGCAACGAGCGCAACCCUUAUCCUUUGUUGCCAGCGGUUCGGUCGGGAACUCAAAGGAGACUGCCGGUGAUAAACCGGAGGAAGGUGGGGAUGACGUCAAGUCAUCAUGGCCCUCACGGCCAGGGCUACACACGUGCUACAAUGGCGCAUACAAAGAGAAGCGACCUCGCGAGAGCAAGCGGACCUCAUAAAGUGCGUCGUAGUCCGGAUUGGAGUCUGCAACUCGACUCCAUGAAGUCGGAAUCGCUAGUAAUCGUAGAUCAGAAUGCUACGGUGAAUACGUUCCC